Molecule: ribosomal RNA, 127 nt
Filed under: Rikenellaceae bacterium
Lineage: Bacteria; Pseudomonadati; Bacteroidota; Bacteroidia; Bacteroidales; Rikenellaceae
Description: partial 16S ribosomal RNA
Rfam family: Bacterial small subunit ribosomal RNA
Source: RNAcentral
UUUAUACAAUGGAGAGUUUGAUCCUGGCUCAGGAUGAACGCUAGCGGCAGGCUUAACACAUGCAAGUCGAGGGGCAGCAUAAACAUUGCUUGCAAUGUUUGAUGGCGACCGGCGCACGGGUGCGUAA